RNAcentral lists this transfer RNA (71 nucleotides) under Spathaspora arborariae UFMG-19.1A. RNAcentral describes it as "tRNA-His (GTG) (tRNA-His-GTG-2-1)". It matches the Rfam family "tRNA". Rfam says of the family: Transfer RNA (tRNA) molecules are approximately 80 nucleotides in length. The record is from RNAcentral. Lineage: Eukaryota; Fungi; Ascomycota; Pichiomycetes; Serinales; Debaryomycetaceae.
GUUGUUAUAGUUCAAUGGUAGAACUUUCGUAUGUGGCACGAACUAUCUGGGUUCAAUUCCCAGUGAUGACC